GCCGAGGUGGUGGAAUGGUAGACACCGGGGACUUAAAAUCCCCUGGCCGAAAGGCCGUGUGAGUUCGAAUCUCAUCCUCGGCA
RNAcentral lists this transfer RNA (83 nucleotides) under Spirochaetaceae bacterium. Its description in RNAcentral is "tRNA-Leu". It matches the Rfam family "tRNA". From Rfam's summary of the family: Transfer RNA (tRNA) molecules are approximately 80 nucleotides in length. Their secondary structure includes four short double-helical elements and three loops (D, anti-codon, and T loops). Further hydrogen bonds mediate the characteristic L-shaped molecular structure. tRNAs have two regions of fundamental functional importance: the anti-codon, which is responsible for specific mRNA codon recognition, and the 3' end, to which the tRNAs corresponding amino acid is attached (by aminoacyl-tRNA synthetases). tRNAs cope with the degeneracy of the genetic code in two manners: having more than one tRNA (with a specific anti-codon) for a particular amino acid; and 'wobble' base-pairing, i.e. permitting non-standard base-pairing at the 3rd anti-codon position. Lineage: Bacteria; Pseudomonadati; Spirochaetota; Spirochaetia; Spirochaetales; Spirochaetaceae. The record is from RNAcentral.